RNAcentral lists this transfer RNA (72 nucleotides) under Chloroflexota bacterium. RNAcentral's name for it is "Chloroflexi bacterium tRNA-His". It matches the Rfam family "tRNA". Rfam says of the family: Transfer RNA (tRNA) molecules are approximately 80 nucleotides in length. Their secondary structure includes four short double-helical elements and three loops (D, anti-codon, and T loops). The record is from RNAcentral. RNAcentral also lists the same sequence under 1 other name. Lineage: Bacteria; Bacillati; Chloroflexota.
GUGGGCGUAGCUCAAUGGCAGAGCACCUGAUUGUGGUUCAGGCGGUUGAGGGUUCGAGCCCCUUCGUCCACC